Molecule: ribosomal RNA, 253 nt
Filed under: uncultured bacterium
Lineage: Bacteria
Description: partial 16S ribosomal RNA
Rfam family: Bacterial small subunit ribosomal RNA
Source: RNAcentral
UACGAAGGGGGCUAGCGUUGCCCGGAAUGACUGGGCGUAAAGGGCGCGUAGGCGGUUCGUACAGUCAGGCGUGAAAUCCCUCGGCUUAACCGGGGAACUGCGUCUGAUACUGGAUGGCUAGAGUUUGGGAGAGGGAUGCGGAAUUCCAGGUGUAGCGGUGAAAUGCGUAGAUAUCUGGAGGAGCACCGGUGGCGAAGGCGGCAUCCUGGACCAACACUGACGCUAAGGAGCGAAAGCCAGGGGAGCAAACGGG